This 94-nucleotide transfer RNA is filed under the name Streptomyces sp. PVA_94-07. Lineage: Bacteria; Bacillati; Actinomycetota; Actinomycetes; Kitasatosporales; Streptomycetaceae. The record is from RNAcentral.
GCGCAUGCAGCUCAUGGAACUGCUGCGGCGGAUGGGCGAGGAGGGUCGCACGGUGCUCUUCUCCUCGCACAUCCUGGAGGAGGUCGAGCAACUC